Molecule: long non-coding RNA, 582 nt
Filed under: Urocitellus parryii (Arctic ground squirrel)
Lineage: Eukaryota; Metazoa; Chordata; Mammalia; Rodentia; Sciuridae
Description: lncRNA (ENSUPAG00010017532.1)
Source: RNAcentral
CCUCACCCACUUAUAGCCUCCCCCACCAUCAACCUCCURCAUCAGAGUGGUAUAUUUGUCAUCAUCAACCCACACUGGCAUAUCCUAUCACCCCAAGUCCAUGCUUCACAUUACUGUUCACACUUGGUUAUAUACAUUUCUUGAGAGUUGUGAUUUUUUACACCAGCAAAUGUCCCCGGGGAAAGCACAUCCACAUGAUUUGAGGCAAAACUAGCAAUGCUAAUCUAUUUUCAAAUGAAUGUGUUCUUUGGAGAAGUGUGUUUGAGAUUGGGUACACAUAUAAAAGAAAGAAGUUGAGUCAUGGAGGGAGGARAGAAAGAGAGAGAAAAGAAAGGACCAUCCACUCACCCAGGCAACUCCCACCCCCAGUCUCUGAAGUCUUUGAAGAUGAAGCCUUCUGGGAAGUUGGCAGUCCUGAGGGCCCAGGGCAAUGCUGAAAUGCCCUUCCAAACAAGGACCCAAACAGCUGAAGGGCUCCAGUUACCCAAGAGUUCCUUCAGCUGUUUAAAAAUUAUUGCAAAUAAUUGCCUUCAUCCUAGUGGUAACCGUUAUCCUGAAGUUGAAUAUCACACAUCAACUUAG